CUAAGCCUCAAGAGGCAUCGGAGGCUUAUCUUUGUAUCUGUCACAGUCCACGGCCCUUUGCCUUUCACUGAAGAUUUAUUGAGCAUCGGAGGCAUGGCUGACUGAAAACAGGAGGUGUGCUUUUUAAGAAUGGCUUCUCAGCUUCAUUCAGUGCCACAGAAGUAUGGUUAGCAUGUUUGAAGAGGCUCACAAGUUCUUCCUACCAAGUCAGUUGUACCCUCAGGAAGGCAAGAGCUCACCCUUGAUGAUGGAAGACUACAAGCCUCUAACGCAGUUUCCACCCGCUUCCGGUCAGCUGAAAACAAGCGGUACACACUGUGAAGUGAAAAAACAAAAUGAGAGAAGCUGAAAAGGUAUAUGGAUCACAACACAUAUUGAAGAUGACAGCUGAAAAUGUUCCAUUGAGUCAAGCCUAUUUAUCACUCAUCUUCACACAAUGAAAAGAUACCCAUUUUUCUAUGCAUCUGUAUCAGUGUUCUGGAAGAUCUAUGAGUGUGCUUUUAAAAAAUUAAAGUGUCUGAAAUAAAAUCAGUAUUUUGAAACUAUGGUGAUGUCUCAAUUUAAAAGUAUUGCAUUAAAUAACUUCUAAUGAUUUUUUUUCUAAUCAUUAGGCACUAAAAUAAAUAUACAGUCUUAGCUGCUUUCCAUCACCCCAAGCUUUUUUAUUAACAGAAGCUCACUGAUAGCUAGCAAGUCAAAGGUUGAAAAAGA
Molecule: long non-coding RNA, 711 nt
Organism: Loxodonta africana (African savanna elephant)
Lineage: Eukaryota; Metazoa; Chordata; Mammalia; Proboscidea; Elephantidae
Exons: 3
Source: RefSeq, a predicted model, not a curated record